CCAGACGGCCGGACGGCCGCUGCCGGGGGCAACCCCGGUGGAGGAAAGUCCGGGCUCCACGGGAAUACGGUGCCGGCUAACGGCCGGCGGGGGCGACCUCAGGGAAAGUGCCACAGAGAACAGACCGCCCGCGCAAGACGGCGACGUCCCGCGGGCAAGGGUGAAACGGGGCGGUAAGAGCGCCCCGCGCCCCCGGCAACGGGGGCGGCACGGCAAACCCCACCGGGAGCAAGACCGAAUAGGGGCGACCGUGGGCGGUCCGCAGGGCCGCGCCGCAGGGGCAUUCCCGCCCCGUCGCCCGGGUUGGUCGCGUGAGGCAUGUCGCGAGACAUGUCCCAGAGGAAUGGCCGUCCCAGCCGCAAGGCUGGACAGAACCCGGCUUACAGGCCGUCUGGCACC
RNAcentral lists this RNase P RNA (399 nucleotides) under Rhodovastum atsumiense. Its description in RNAcentral is "Bacterial RNase P class A". It matches the Rfam family "Bacterial RNase P class A". From Rfam's summary of the family: Ribonuclease P (RNase P) is a ubiquitous endoribonuclease, found in archaea, bacteria and eukarya as well as chloroplasts and mitochondria. Its best characterised activity is the generation of mature 5'-ends of tRNAs by cleaving the 5'-leader elements of precursor-tRNAs. The record is from Rfam by way of RNAcentral. Lineage: Bacteria; Pseudomonadati; Pseudomonadota; Alphaproteobacteria; Acetobacterales; Acetobacteraceae.